This 76-nucleotide transfer RNA is filed under the name Podarcis lilfordi (Lilford's wall lizard). RNAcentral's name for it is "tRNA.Lys". The stretch from base 12 to 76 matches the Rfam family "tRNA". From Rfam's summary of the family: Transfer RNA (tRNA) molecules are approximately 80 nucleotides in length. Their secondary structure includes four short double-helical elements and three loops (D, anti-codon, and T loops). Lineage: Eukaryota; Metazoa; Chordata; Lepidosauria; Squamata; Lacertidae. The record is from RNAcentral.
GCCCCAUUAUAGCUCAAGUUGGUAGAACAUGAGACUCUUAAUCUCAGGGUCGUGAGUUCGAGCCCCAUGUUGAGCA